Nelumbo nucifera (sacred lotus) is the source of this 550-nucleotide non-coding RNA. Lineage: Eukaryota; Viridiplantae; Streptophyta; Magnoliopsida; Proteales; Nelumbonaceae. The record is from RefSeq and is a predicted model, not a curated record.
AUGGCAUGGGCGUGGAAAGAAGGCUCGAAAGUGAUACGGAUUGGGAAGCGGCACGGGUAUGUGUUUGUUGUAGAAUGUCUACAUCCCUAAAUUUUAACAUUUUUGGAAUAUAUGGUUUGCCAGUUGUGGAGGUGACCAUAAUAUCCUUGGUUCUUUUGGGUGCGGGCACGAAGAAUGCUUGACUUGCGGGCAAGAUGCGCAACCUCUCACGGCAAUACUAUUAGGAAACCGAUCAACUCUUCGGUGAGCUUGCAUCCGUGGAGUCGAUUCGAGCGUUCGAAUUGUAGUAUUGAACAGCCAUGGCCUCGCAUACGCUGGAGUCCAGAAUGAGCCACUCUAACCCAUUUCUUCUGUAUACACUCUUAAACCUUUCCUUCUCCAGCUAUUUCUAAUUAGACAUUCUUGGCAGGUGAAUGGCGUGGGCGUGGAAAGAAGGCUCGGAAGUGAUACAGAUUCGGAAGCGGCACGGGCACGAAGAAUGCUCGAUUUGCGGGCAAGAUGCGCAACCUCUCGUGGCAAUACUAUAAGGAAGCCGAUCAACUCUUCGAUG